UAGGGAAUCUUCCACAAUGGACGCAAGUCUGAUGGAGCAACGCCGCGUGAGUGAAGAAGGUUUUCGGAUCGUAAAGCUCUGUUGUUGGUGAAGAAGGAUAGAGGCAGUAACUGGUCUUUAUUUGACGGUAAUCAACCAGAAAGUCACGUCUAACUACGUGCCAGCAGCCGCGGUAAUACGUAGGUGGCAAGCGUUGUCCGGAUUUAUUGGGCGUAAAGCGAGCGCAGGCGGAAUGAUAAGUCUGAUGUGAAAGCCCACGGCUCAACCGUGGAACUGCAUCGGAAACUGUCAUUCUUGAGUGCAGAAGAGGAGAGUGGAAUUCCAUGUGUAGCGGUGGAAUGCGUAGAUAUAUGGAAGAACACCAGUGGCGAAGGCGGCUCUCUGGUCUGCAACUGACGCUGAGGCUCGAAAGCAUGGGUAGCGAACAGG
This 429-nucleotide ribosomal RNA is filed under the name bacterium. RNAcentral's name for it is "partial 16S ribosomal RNA". It matches the Rfam family "Bacterial small subunit ribosomal RNA", at positions 355 to 776 of the family's 1533-position model. The record is from RNAcentral.